CCUACGGGUGGCAGCAGUGGGGGAUAUUGCACAAUGGGGGAAACCCUGAUGCAGCGACGCCGCGUGGGUGAAGAAGGGCCUCGGCGCGUAAAGCCCUGUCAGCAGGGAAGAAAAUGACGGUACCUGAAGAAGAAGCCCCGGCUAACUCCGUGCCAGCAUCCGCGGUAAUACGGAGGGGGCAAGCGUUAUUCGGAUUUACUGGGUGUAAAGGGGGCGCAGACGGCGAUGAAAGCCAGGAGUGAAGGCCCGGGGCCCAACCCCGGGACUGCUCUUGGAACUGCGUGGCUAGAGUGCAGGAGGGGCAGGCGGAAUUCCUGGUGUAGCGGUGAAAUGCGUAGAUAUCAGGAGGAACACCGGUGGCGAAGGCGGCCUGCUGGACUGCAACUGACGUUGAGGCCCGAAAGCGUGGGGAGCAAACAGGAUUAGAUACCCCAGUAGUC
RNAcentral lists this ribosomal RNA (440 nucleotides) under uncultured bacterium. RNAcentral's name for it is "partial 16S ribosomal RNA". It matches the Rfam family "Bacterial small subunit ribosomal RNA", at positions 338 to 795 of the family's 1533-position model. The record is from RNAcentral.